Molecule: long non-coding RNA, 815 nt
Filed under: Phoenix dactylifera (date palm)
Lineage: Eukaryota; Viridiplantae; Streptophyta; Magnoliopsida; Arecales; Arecaceae
Description: long non-coding RNA (PDAC_LNC003413)
Source: RNAcentral
UGGGUAGUUGGUAUUUGAUACAAUUGUUAUAUAUUUAGGGGUUCUUCAGAUUAACCACAUUUUUUUUUUGCAUGUUUAGAGUGGGUAUAUUCAGUUGUUCUACUGGUCAUAAGACAUUAGUGCUGAUUCUUUUUGAGACAUGCAUCAUGCUUUUACUUGUUCGAAUUUGAAACAGAUCCAAACAGAAUCACAUAAUUCUGAAGCAAAAGAAGUUGAACAUGAAAUGAAUAUCUCUAGCACUCCUUUCAUCUGCUGCCAUCAGUGACUCUCACUUUUGUUUAAUGGCAGCAGUGCUAUUUUUUUUUAUUCGAGUGAAGUAACUCUAUAUUAUGGCAAUUUAUCAAGAUUUUAAUUAGCACAAAAUUUACUCAUUCUUUUAUCCUUGCAAGGAAGGUGUUAAAUGCUGGCAAGAAUAAGCUUCGAACAAUCGAUGAAAUUAGAUCUAUCACAAGCUUAUGAGUUUUAAUUUUGAAAGGUAACUAUUCCGAAAAGUUUUUUAUACAAAUUUUGUGGAUACCUGAAUCAAUCUGGAAUUUAGCUCUGUGUAACAUCUUUACUUUGUCUUUUCUAUUACAUAUAACAACAUAUCUUGCAUCUGCAAGCUUGAUCAGCUCACAUACUUGAAAUACGCUUGCUAUGUAACACACAAACUCAAGUUUUCCAUGAAAGCAGUAUUAUCUUUGUCUUUCCUGAUAUUUCUCAUAAAAACUUCUGGAUUUUACUCAUAUACAGGUACUAUUGUCUGGUAAUCCUGGACAAGAUGGGGUUGGGGUUGGGAAAUGAAUGUUCCUAGAGAAAGGAAAAGGGAAGGUGUG